Long non-coding RNA from Poecilia latipinna (sailfin molly), 647 nucleotides. RefSeq lists it as uncharacterized. The transcript has 2 exons. NCBI's taxonomy places the organism in Eukaryota, Metazoa, Chordata, Actinopteri, Cyprinodontiformes, Poeciliidae. The record is from RefSeq and is a predicted model, not a curated record.
CCCACUCUGCGCACCGGGUGCAGCAGGAAGCGCACCAUUGAUUGGUGGGCGGGGCAGAUGCCUAUAUAGUUGGGCGGGCCGCUGCAAGGUGCGUGCGUCUUUGUUUCUCCCGCUGUUGCUGCGGUCGGCGGCUACAUGUCGGCUUGUGGGUUUGGUCGACUCGUCUGCGAUCUGUUGCUCUGAUGGCGUUGCCGGCUGCAGCUGGGGGUUGCUGUGGCGGGCGGCUUCAAUCUGGUCCUCACCUGCUGACCCGCUUCCUCCCGGGUUAGGCUGCGUUUCCACCUCUGGGCAACUGAUUGUGUGUGGAGCUGCAGCGCUUUGGACGCUCUGCUGUCUUGUCUUGUCUUCCCAUUGUUUGGGCCGCUCUCAACUAAACUUGUUGCUGGUUGGGCGGGGCAUUCCUCUUCUGGCCUUAUCCAAGGGCAUUUGGAACUGGAUGACGACAAAGAUUUGUUCCAUUGUUUGAAGUGUUUUCUUUUACCGUUUGUAUUUGUUGUUUACCAAUUUGUGUUUAUUUUCUUUUGCAUUGCAUGUUUUAUUUUAUUUCUUUUGGAAUAAUUGAACUUGUCUGUCCUGUUUCCUUUUGUCCCAGGGACCGAGUAGUGGGCCUGAAGCCUCGUUUUUAAAAGGAAUUGUUUUAAAGGAAU